UACGGGGGGGGCAAGCGUUGUUCGGAAUUACUGGGCGUAAAGGGCUCGUAGGCGGCAAACUAAGUCAGACGUGAAAUCCCUCGGCUUAACCGGGGAACUGCGUCUGAUACUGGAUGGCUUGAGUUUGGGAGAGGGAUGCGGAAUUCCAGGUGUAGCGGUGAAAUGCGUAGAUAUCUGGAGGAACACCGGUGGCGAAGGCGGCAUCCUGGACCAACACUGACGCUGAGGAGCGAAAGCCAGGGGAGCAAACGGG
This 253-nucleotide ribosomal RNA is filed under the name uncultured bacterium. RNAcentral's name for it is "partial 16S ribosomal RNA". It matches the Rfam family "Bacterial small subunit ribosomal RNA", at positions 524 to 776 of the family's 1533-position model. The record is from RNAcentral.